CCUACGGGAGGCAGCAGUAAGGAAUAUUGGUCAAUGGAGGCAACUCUGAACCAGCCAUGCCGCGUGCAGGAAGACGCCCUCUGGGUCGUAAACUGCUUUUAUUCGGGAAUAUGUACCGAAGGAAUAAGGAUCGGCUAACUCCGUGCCAGCAGCCGCGGUAAUACGGAGGAUCCAAGCGUUAUCCGGAUUUAUUGGGUUUAAAGGGUGCGUAGGCGGCUUAUUAAGUCAGGGGUGAAAGACGGUGGCUCAACCAUCGCAGUGCCUUUGAUACUGAUGAGCUUGAAUACACUAGAGGUAGGCGGAAUGUGACAAGUAGCGGUGAAAUGCAUAGAUAUGUCACAGAACACCGAUUGCGAAGGCAGCUUACUAUGGUGUAUUGACGCUGAGGCACGAAAGCGUGGGGAUCAAACAGGAUUAGAUACCCUUGUAGUC
Molecule: ribosomal RNA, 432 nt
Filed under: uncultured bacterium
Lineage: Bacteria
Description: partial 16S ribosomal RNA
Rfam family: Bacterial small subunit ribosomal RNA
Source: RNAcentral